UGGGGAAUUUUCCGCUAUGGGGGGAACCCUGACGGAGCAACGCCGCGUGCGGGAGGACGGCCUGUGGGUUGUAAACCGCUUUUCUCUAGGAAGAAGGUCUGACGGUACUAGAGGAAUCAGCAUCGGCUAACUCCGUGCCAGCAGCCGCGGUAAGACGGAGGAUGCAAGCGUUAUCCGGAAUUAUUGGGCGUAAAGCGUCCGCAGGUGGCACUUCAAGUCUGCUGUCAAAGACCAGAGCUCAACUCUGGGCAGGCGGUGGAAACUGGGGAGCUAGAGUACGGUAGGGGUAGAGGGAAUUUCCAGUGUAGCGGUGAAAUGCGUAGAGAUUGGAAAGAACACCAGUGGCGAAGGCGCUCUACUGGACCUGUACUGACACUAAGGGACGAAAGCUAGGGGAGCGAAAGGGAUUAGAUACCCGUGUAGUCC
Molecule: ribosomal RNA, 426 nt
Filed under: uncultured prokaryote
Description: bacterial SSU rRNA
Rfam family: Bacterial small subunit ribosomal RNA
Source: RNAcentral